UACAGAGGGUGCAAGCGUUAAUCGGAAUUACUGGGCGUAAAGCGCGCGUAGGCGGUCCCUUAAGUCUGAUGUGAAAGCCCCGGGCUCAACCUGGGAACUGCAUCCAAAACUGGCCGGCUAGAGUACGGUAGAGGGUGGUGGAAUUUCCUGUGUAGCGGUGAAAUGCGUAGAUAUAGGAAGGAACACCAGUGGCGAAGGCGACCACCUGGACUGAUACUGACACUGAGGUGCGAAAGCGUGGGGAGCAAACAGA
Molecule: unclassified non-coding RNA, 253 nt
Filed under: uncultured Pseudomonadaceae bacterium
Lineage: Bacteria; Pseudomonadati; Pseudomonadota; Gammaproteobacteria; Pseudomonadales; Pseudomonadaceae
Description: contains 16S-23S intergenic spacer region
Rfam family: Bacterial small subunit ribosomal RNA
Source: RNAcentral